This 31-nucleotide non-coding RNA is filed under the name Rattus norvegicus (Norway rat). Lineage: Eukaryota; Metazoa; Chordata; Mammalia; Rodentia; Muridae. The record is from RNAcentral.
UUGCCCUNUAUAGUAAGACAAUAGAAUAUGU